GCGCCGGUGGUGCGACCGGCGUCGGCCCGGCGGCGUCGAUGGUCGGCGACCAGGGCGCGGUGUUCCAGCCACCACCGGUGCCC
RNAcentral lists this transfer RNA (83 nucleotides) under Actinoplanes sp. NBRC 101535. RNAcentral describes it as "tRNA-Ser". The record is from RNAcentral. Lineage: Bacteria; Bacillati; Actinomycetota; Actinomycetes; Micromonosporales; Micromonosporaceae.